Molecule: unclassified non-coding RNA, 207 nt
Filed under: Hevea brasiliensis (rubber tree)
Lineage: Eukaryota; Viridiplantae; Streptophyta; Magnoliopsida; Malpighiales; Euphorbiaceae
Source: RNAcentral
GCUGAGUGCACCCAUGAUGGCUCUAUAAAGCAUAUACAGAAAUUUGAAAGUUGGGGUUGGACAUCUCUUCAGCGCAGAGUAUUGGACGCUGAGAGAACAGAUAAUUUGACUGUACUUCAGUUAAGACUCCUUACCAAUGGUUUUAGGUUGCUUAAAUCUGGGGGAAUACUUGUCUACAGCACUUGCAGUCUUACCGUAGCACAGAAU